GACGGAGGAUGCAAGCGUUAUCCGGAAUGAUUGGGCGUAAAGCGUCCGCAGGUGGCAGUUCAAGUCUGCUGUCAAAGACCGGGGCUUAACUUCGGAAAGGCAGUGGAAACUGAACAGCUAGAGUAUGGUAGGGGCAGAGGGAAUUCCUGGUGUAGCGGUGAAAUGCGUAGAGAUCAGGAAGAACACCGAUGGCGAAGGCAAUCCCCUGGACCUGUACUGACGCUCAUGCACGAAAGCGUGGGGAGCAAACAGG
RNAcentral lists this ribosomal RNA (253 nucleotides) under uncultured bacterium. RNAcentral describes it as "partial 16S ribosomal RNA". It matches the Rfam family "Bacterial small subunit ribosomal RNA", at positions 524 to 776 of the family's 1533-position model. The record is from RNAcentral.